ACGAACGCUGGCGGCGUGCUUAACACAUGCAAGUCGAACGGAAAGGCCCUGCUUUUGUGGGGUGCUCGAGUGGCGAACGGGUGAGUAACACGUGAGUAACCUGCCCUUGACUUUGGGAUAACUUCAGGAAACUGGGGCUAAUACCGGAUAGGAGCUCCUGCUACAUGGUGGGGGUUGGAAAGUUUCGGCGGUUGGGGAUGGACUCGCGGCUUAUCAGCUUGUUGGUGGGGUAGUGGCUUACCAAGGCUUUGACGGGUAGCCGGCCUGAGAGGGUGACCGGCCACAUUGGGACUGAGAUACGGCCCAGACUCCUACGGGAGGCAGCAGUGGGGAAUAUUGCACAAUGGGCGGAAGCCUGAUGCAGCAACGCCGCGUGCGGGAUGACGGCCUUCGGGUUGUAAACCGCUUUCGCCUGUGACGAAGCGUGAGUGACGGUAAUGGGUAAAGAAGCACCGGCUAACUACGUG
Molecule: ribosomal RNA, 467 nt
Filed under: uncultured bacterium
Lineage: Bacteria
Description: partial 16S ribosomal RNA
Rfam family: Bacterial small subunit ribosomal RNA
Source: RNAcentral